RNAcentral lists this ribosomal RNA (449 nucleotides) under uncultured bacterium. RNAcentral describes it as "bacterial SSU rRNA". It matches the Rfam family "Bacterial small subunit ribosomal RNA", at positions 354 to 796 of the family's 1533-position model. The record is from RNAcentral.
GUGGGGAAUCUUCCGCAAUGGGCGAAAGCCUGACGGAGCAACGCCGCGUGAGUGAAGAAGGUCUUCGGAUCGUAAAGCUCUGUUGAGAGGGACGAGAGAUUACUUCAGGAAAUGGGAGUAAGAGGACGGUACCUUUCGAGGAAGCCACGGCUAACUACGUGCCAGCAGCCGCGGUAAUACGUAGGUGGCGAGCGUUGUCCGGAAUUAUUGGGCGUAAAGGGAGCGCAGGUGGGACUUCAAGUCAGUCUUAAAAGUGCGGGGCUCAACCCCGUGAUGGGAUUGAAACUGUAGUUCUUGAGUGCAGGAGAGGAAAGCGGAAUUCCUAGUGUAGCGGUGAAAUGCGUAGAUAUUAGGAGGAACACCAGUGGCGAAGGCGGCUUUCUGGACUGUAACUGACACUGAGGCUCGAAAGCGUGGGGAGCGAACAGGAUUAGAAACCCUAGUAGUCC